RNAcentral lists this transfer RNA (63 nucleotides) under Chrysolagria sp. CHR01. Its description in RNAcentral is "tRNA-Arg". Lineage: Eukaryota; Metazoa; Arthropoda; Insecta; Coleoptera; Tenebrionidae. The record is from RNAcentral.
AAGUAAAAAGCAAUAUUUGCAUUUAGUUUCGACCUAAAAUUAUGAUAAAUUUAUCUUUACUUA